GGGGACGACCUGGCUUCGACGUCGGUUACAAACCCUGAGGUGCAUGUCGAGCAUGUAGCUAACCUCGUAAAUCUUGCUGCAAACAUAUAGUUGCAAACGACAACAACUACGCAAUCGCCGCUUAAUAACCGGUAGGUUGCUGUCGGACUGGAUACGUGUCUAUGCGUCCAGGUUCAUUCGUGAACAUCCGGCAUCGCUCUCAUAGAAUCGUGAUGGACGCUCGUUCGGGGCCGAAGCACUAAACAAGUACCGAAAUCGCUGUUUGUUUUCUUGGUCUGACGGGUAGCAGACAGCUAAACUAAAGUUCAGAAUAAACAUGUAGAGCCGAUGGCAGAGGACUGGCGGACGGGGGUUCGAUUCCCCCCGUCUCCACCA
Molecule: transfer-messenger RNA, 375 nt
Filed under: Gammaproteobacteria (g-proteobacteria)
Lineage: Bacteria; Pseudomonadati; Pseudomonadota
Also listed under: 2 other names
Description: JACNJF01 sp014382695 Standard tmRNA
Rfam family: transfer-messenger RNA
About the family: Bacterial tmRNA, also known as 10Sa RNA or SsrA, is named for its dual tRNA and mRNA-like properties. Its role is to liberate the mRNA from a stalled ribosome.
Source: RNAcentral